Heterocephalus glaber (naked mole-rat) is the source of this 4207-nucleotide long non-coding RNA. The record is from Ensembl. NCBI's taxonomy places the organism in Eukaryota, Metazoa, Chordata, Mammalia, Rodentia, Bathyergidae.
GGGCCCUGCCAGCCCUCCUCCCCGCUGCUGUUUACCCCUCGGGACACACAGGCCUGCGACCUGCGCUUGGAGCUUCCCGCCAGGUCCUGGACCCGGGGUUCGUGUCGCAGCUCCCUACUCUGGGGACCGGGGGGAGGGCGUCACACUGGGGGGCCCACGGGGCGGUGACUCGGGCUCUCUUCCCCUCCUGCUUCCCUCUCCCUAUCCAUCCUCACCUCCUCCUCCACUCUUCCCCCCUCUUCCUGCUCCUCUCUACUCCCUGUCUCCUCCUUCCCUCUACUCCCUCACCCUCUACUUCCCGUCCACUUCCCCUCCUUCCACUUCUUCUCAUCUUUUAUCACCUCCUCCUCCUCCAUCUCUCCUCCUCUUUCCUGUCUUCUACCCCCCUGCCCCUCUUCUCCACCGUCCUCCUUUUUCUUCUUCAUCCUCCUUCGUGUGUGACAAGUCUCACCACUGGGUGUGGACCAGCCCUGGACUCACAGCGGUCCCCCUGCCUCGGCCUCCCGAGCCGCUGCACCAGCCCUCUUCCCUCACUCCCUUCCUCCCCGCUCCUGCUGUUCCCCUGUCUUCCCGCCCUCCUGCUCCUCUCGCUUUCCUCCCUCAGGAACCCACCUUCGCCUUCUUCCCCCUCCCCUCGCCGCCGGCCUCUUCCCUCCGCUCGCUCUCCUCCCGUUCCUCCCUCCCUUCCUCUCCCAGCCUCGACCCUCCCUUUUCCUCCCUCCCCCCUCCCGUCAUCCCCCGCUUCCUACUCCUCCUCCUGCUGCUUCUCUUCCCUCUUCUUCCCCCCUCCCUUUUCCUGCUCCUAUUCCUCCUCCCUCCCCUCCCUCCCUCUCCCGCCUCCUGCUCUUUCCUCCCCUUUCACCCUCCACCUCCCUGUCGCUCUCCGCUCCUGGUCCGCCCUGCCCCGCUGCGCUCUGUCCUCCCGCUCUGUCUCUCUGCGUCGCCCCUCCCCCUCCGUCAGGCCCGUGCCCCCCACCUGCCCCCAGCCUUGCUCCCCCUCUCAGGCCCUCUCCCUGCCACCGCCCCCCCCCCCUCCUCCUCUGCCACUCUCUCUCCUCCCUUGGUCUCCUUUCUCGCCUUCUGCCUGCUCCUCCCUCUGGUCCCGUCACCCUGCCCCUGGCUGUCCUCCCCGCAGCUCUCUUCCUUGCCCACUUGCUCAACUGUCCUUUCUCCCCGUUUCUGUCUUCUGCUCUUUCUGUCCCACUCCCUGCUGUGAUUCCUGCGCUCUCCCCUCACCUCACCGCCAUCCCUCCCCCUGCUCGGGACCCUGUUUCCCCAGUCUCCGGGAGGCCUCUGUGACACUGUUCUCUCUUUUCUGUCUGUCGGGGAUGCUGGACACCGCCUGGAGGAAUCGGUCACCUGAGGCCCAAGAAACCACAAGAGGAGCCUCAGAGGUUGGAAGGGACCCGCCCAGGUCACACAGCAAAGCAGAGCGUCAGCUCAGAGAGGAUGGGGCGCACAGUGUUUCCAGAGACCCGCGACCCGGGACAGAGGCCUGGCUGGACAGCCCGAGAGCCAGGAACCAGACUGGGGUGUCCUCUGUCCCCACCUGCUGGAGGUGGGUGGAAGUGCAGCCCUGCUGUAUUAGGCAUUGAGAAUGGUGGGACCAAGAGACUGGGCUGGGGAUGUAGCUCCGUGGUGCCACACCUGCCUGGCAAGGUGCAAGGUCCUGAGUUUGAGUCCCAGUACCAAAAAAACAAAUCAAAACAAAGAGACCAACCUGGGGGAGGGACAGGGGCUGCUGAGUGGGUGGAGAGGAGAAUUCCCAAAAUUCCAUACCAAUGAACACUUAUAUUCCUACUAUGCAAACAUCCUGCCCAGUGAGCCUAUUUGCAGCUUAUGCCCCAGCCCCUCCAUGUCCCUUCACAACCCUCAGUGGGUGGAUUCUCGCCUGCAGCCCAUGGAGAGGCAGCUGGGGAAGUGGGUUUGGGCCAUGAGAGCCUGUUGCUCCAUGGACUGGGCCAAGUCAAGCAGGCCCCUUUAGGACAGCACCCCCAUCACACCUUGCUCGAUGGGGGCAGGUCCAAGCUACAGUGCUGGGCCAGCAGCUAGAAGCCCUGGAUGAGCCUAGCUCCUUGUCCAGGGGUCUCCCUGAGGGUCGGAAACCUAUGCAGUUGUUUUCUGAAGCCACUGUGAGGGGGCAGCAGCUUAAACCACUCUAAGGCUGGCUUCUCAUAUCCUUGGACUACACCACACAACCACCUGCUAGGGACACCUGGAUCCAGGAUGACCUCAGAGGAGGUGGAGCUUCCUUGGUGCUGAGAGCACAGAAAGGUGUCUGAGGGGUGUGGCAGGAAGCACGGAGCUCUUCACAUCCUGGGCCCCUGCCUGAAGCCUCAAGGCUGGGAGAGCCCAGGAGAUCUCAAGAGGGCGGAGCUGCACAGGACAGUGGGAGCCCUGGGAGAAGAGGGCAGGCGCCUGGGCCUGAAGCCAGCCUGGUGGCACCUAAUGGGUUCACUCAUUAGGGGCCUCAAGAGCAGGACUCAGGGGCUGGGAUUUUGUGUUGGGGACCAUGGGGGGGGCUGCAGUGAGUUUGGCUCUGGUGUUGAACAUCUGGAAGGACCACUCAGUGGGAACCCCAAGACGGGGAUGUCGGGGGGCGGUGGGCUGAGGGUGCAGGAGGGAGGAGACAGAGAAGGGAUGAGGCCAGGGGCCCUGGAGGGGCAGGCAGAGGUGGCAGCACGCCAGGCAACGAUCCCGCCGUAACUGUCGACCUUACUCACUGUCCCUGAGGCACGGGCACUGCUGGACCAGUGGGGCUGUGGGGCUGAAGCUCAGAGGGUCUGAGCUGGAACCCAGGCUUGGGAAUCUUGGGUAAGCAAGGCUGCUUGAAUCUGGGUGUGGUGGGCAGUGGCUGAGAUAUGGAGCAGCCACAAGGCAGUCUGUGUGUCUGUCACACACACACUAGCUUCCAAGUUCCACCUAGCCCUGUUAUGGCUUGUAUCCAGAUGUCCCCCCCCAAAGCCUCAUGGGCUCAGGUGGCGCUUUCCAGAGCUGGCUGGAUCUAGGAUGUGUGCCACUGGAAUUAAGGGUGUGUGGUAGUCAGUAAGUCCACUGAUUGGCUUAGCAUAGUUCUGGGUGUGGAUGGCACCACCCAAAAGGCAGGUAGCACAAACGGGAUAAAAGGGAAAAGGAAGGUUUGCUUGCUCCUCACUGCCUGCCUACCGUGCCAUGGACUGUUUCUCCUCUGUGAUGCCCCUGUGCCCUACCACCCUGCCCCAAAGCCAGCUGUUGACUGAAAUGUCUGUGAACUGUGAGCUAAAAUAAACUUUCCUCCUUCACCUUUGGGUGUUGGGUAUUUUUGUCCCAGAUACAAGAAAAGUAACUAAGACAGGCCCAUUUGUGUGGACAAAAUCACGCAGGGACAUGGGGACUGGUGCAGUGCUGCUCUGGACACCAGAGACCACCAACGGGGCCAAGGACAUAAGCACUGAGCCACCAAAGUCACAGAAGGGCCGGAAACCUCAGUAACCCUGCUGAGGAAAGUGGGGAGGAAAACACACUUCUGCAGAAUGACUCACCUGAGCAUGUAUGUGUCCAGAACAAUGAUCAGGCGACAGAAAAUGCAGGCAGCCUCCAGGAGGAAACUGGACAGGGGCCUGGGGAUAGCAGACAGCUUCUAGCUGUGGCUCCUACUCUAUCUAUGUCCCCCAACCUGGCCAGAGAAAUCACACCAUGAAUGAGCUCUCCCGGGAUAGUUAAGACCAGGAGGGACGUUAAAUAAGGACAGAGCCGAUGCUGGCUAGGACACACUGCAGGGCAAGUGCUGGCUAGGAAGCACCGGAGCCAGGGCUCAGUCCACCAGACCAAAACAAGACAGCCCCACACACCAGCAAGCCAGGCAGAGGGCUGAGAAGCCUCAGCAGUUCUUGUGGGAUAACCCAGGCCAAGGGAGAGGUGUGGGAAGAAAGCAGGGUCAUAAAUCUGGACCCACCCCAGGCAACUUAGCUACGCAGUGAGACCCUACUCAAAAUAAAUGAGAAUAUAGGGGCCCUCGCUGCUGUCAAGUAACAUGGCUACUAGAGUUGCCGUCUUCCUCAAAAUGCUUGGGCCCAGGAGCCGGUGCUGGUCAUGUCCUUCGCUACUGGCAGCCUCGCUAUAAUUCUGCCCCGACUCAGCCCCUACACCAAAUACUCCAUCAUGGUCAACAAGGCCACGCCCUACAACUACCCAGUGCCCAUCUGAGAUGAUGGGAACAUGCCCAAUG